UACGUAGGGGGCAAGCGUUAUCCGGAUUUAUUGGGUGUAAAGGGUGCGUAGACGGGAAGGCAAGUUGGUUGUGAAAUCCCUCGGCUUAACUGAGGAACUGCAACCAAAACUAUCUUUCUUGAGUGCUGGAGAGGAAAGUGGAAUUCCUAGUGUAGCGGUGAAAUGCGUAGAUAUUAGGAGGAACACCAGUGGCGAAGGCGACUUUCUGGACAGUAACUGACGUUGAGGCACGAAAGUGUGGGGGGCAAACAGG
RNAcentral lists this ribosomal RNA (253 nucleotides) under uncultured bacterium. RNAcentral's name for it is "partial 16S ribosomal RNA". It matches the Rfam family "Bacterial small subunit ribosomal RNA", at positions 524 to 776 of the family's 1533-position model. The record is from RNAcentral.